Molecule: long non-coding RNA, 1092 nt
Organism: Bubalus bubalis (water buffalo)
Lineage: Eukaryota; Metazoa; Chordata; Mammalia; Artiodactyla; Bovidae
Exons: 3
Source: RefSeq, a predicted model, not a curated record
UGACUCAUUUGCAUUCAUGAAAAAUAGAUAAGGUAGCACAAAUUUCAUGAGAUUCUAUGUUAAAUUGUGCAUGCAAGUAUUUAUAUGACAAGGGGUGUGAUAUCCUUUUUUAUUAGAUUUUCAAAUUGUUUCCUGGCUCCCCCCCACUUUCCCCUGGCUCCUCCAAUUUAGGACCAUUGAUAUUGGAAUUUUCUUAAUAAAGAAGCAGAGCAAAAGGAACUUUUAGCAAAAAAAUGUAACAUGAGUAGAGCCUCUCAUGUGAAUGAGUAUAGGAUGUGUUAAAAAAUUUCACAUAAUUUGGGGGCAGUUGGAGCAGUGGGUACAAUGGGGAACGCCUGAAGGUGAUGCUGCAGAGAUAUCUGUCAGAUAUUGUGAAAGGCCCUAUGAUUUGAGCAUGAAUUUAAGCUGCAUUUUGUGACUAGUAAGAGGAAAUUACAACAUUUGAAGCAGGAAACAAUAAUUGGGUUUUUUAAAAAAAAUUUGUUUGAUUUUUAAAAUAGUUUAUUGUUUGUUUAUUUUGGCCGUGCUGGGUGUUCGUUGCUAUACGGGGCCUACUCUUCGUUGUGGUGCAUAUGCUUCUCAUCACCAGGAGCAUGGGCUCCAGGCGCACAGGCCUCCGUAGUUGCAGCGCUGGGUUUAGCUGCCCUGCAGCAUGUGGACUCCUCCCCCUGGAUCAGAGAGCGAACUCGUGUUCCCUACAUUGGUAGGAAGAUUCUUAAGCACUGGACCACCAGGGAAGUCCUACAGUGGAUUUUUUAAAGACAAGUGAUGUGAAGGCAUGAUAUCCAGAGCUGUGGCAGCCUUCUCAGGAACAUGAGUGAGAAGCUAAGAAAAUUAGACAGAUGUUGUCUGGGAAGCUGCAACCUACCUUCCAGUUCUAUGAAAUAGCGAACUAUUUCAUUGAUCAGCACGCCAGGCCUCCCUGUCCAUCAUCAACUCCCGGAGUUCACUCAGACUCACGUCCAUCGAGUCAGUGAUGCCAUCCAGCUAUCACGGAAUAAAUUGAGAACCAAGAUAGAAAGUAACAGAAGACCUACUGUUGACUGGGUAGUCAGAGAAUUUUUCUCGGAGGUGGAAAUUAAAGGUGAAAGA